This 352-nucleotide RNase P RNA is filed under the name Lachnospira multipara. RNAcentral describes it as "Bacterial RNase P class A". It matches the Rfam family "Bacterial RNase P class A". Rfam says of the family: Ribonuclease P (RNase P) is a ubiquitous endoribonuclease, found in archaea, bacteria and eukarya as well as chloroplasts and mitochondria. Its best characterised activity is the generation of mature 5'-ends of tRNAs by cleaving the 5'-leader elements of precursor-tRNAs. Cellular RNase Ps are ribonucleoproteins. Lineage: Bacteria; Bacillati; Bacillota; Clostridia; Lachnospirales; Lachnospiraceae. The record is from Rfam by way of RNAcentral.
UGAGUAAGACAGAUGAUCGCGGCUACAUUUCCGAAAGGAAGUAGGUGAGGAAAGUCCGGGCUUCAUAGGGCAGGAUGCCGGAUAACGUCCGGUGGAGGCGACUCCAAGGCUAGUGCAACAGAGAUAUACCGCCAUUUUAUGGUAAGGGUGGAAAGGUGGAGUAAGAGACCACCGCAGUCUUGGUAACAAGAUUGGCUAUGUAAACCCCAUUCGAAGCAAGACCGAGUAAAAACAAUACGUCUGCCCGGCGUGUUUUAGGUAGGUCGCUUGAGUCUAUUGGCAACAGUAGAACUAGAUAGAUGAUCAUCACGAAGCAAUUCGACAUAACCCGGCUUAUAGUUUUGCUCAUUUA